This 7624-nucleotide long non-coding RNA is filed under the name Homo sapiens (human). Its description in RNAcentral is "HSALNT0086431". The record is from RNAcentral. Lineage: Eukaryota; Metazoa; Chordata; Mammalia; Primates; Hominidae.
AUAGUAUUGAAAAUAAAUUUUUUGCAUAGAGUAGGGUGGUUGUAUAUUAUCUGACCUGUGUGUCAAAUGCCCCCAGUGUCCCGAUUGCUGGAACUUUUCUGUUCACCCUCCAGUUUUGCUUUCCAGCCUUCUUCAACCUCCUGUCUGACCAAGGUGGUUGAUCUCUGAGGACACACUACCGACAGCCUCAAUUCUGUCUUCUCAUUGGGUUUGGCCAGUGGAGAGCGGUCAGAGGAAGUCAGGAACUGGAAGAGGGGAGAAAGAUGUUGGGUUAAUUAUUUCCACCAUCUGCAUGAACCAUCUGCCUCCCCACUGAGACACCCAAUUGGCAGUGCCUCUACAGAAGGCCAUUGCUCCCUUAGGUGGCUUUCUCCCCUUUGGCUGUCUCCUCUCUGGUUCCCUGUAAUUGUGUCCACUUCUUUUCAUCUCAAGCUUAGACUGCCUAUCAGUCAGGGUCCCAGAAAAACAGUGGCACUCUGAAAUUAGGAGGAUGUGAGGAGAGUCUAAUAAAGAAACAAAUUACAGAGAUGGGAACUGGCUGUUGGGAACCCACAGAAAAUGGUGCCGUGUGCUGGGACUAAAAGCAGCAAAACCGUGUUGCCACCCCGUGGUCUUAAGAGGAAGAAAGGAGGAGCUCCAAGGAAAAACACAGCAGACCCAUCGCUGGGAAUCAGGUCCCACCAGCCUCACCUUAGGCCCGCAUCUUUCUCCAGCAGAGGCAGUUCAUUCCAGUAGCAGCAGUUGAAUCCGGUGUGCAGUUUUCCCAGCACGCACAGAACUAGCUUCAUUGUGCCUUCUUGGAGACCCCAGCAGCAGCCAACCAACACCCACUCCUCAGCCAGUCACAGCCCCGUGGAGCCCCACUCCAAGCUUGGGGACAGCAGCAGCAGCUGAAUGGCAGCCUCCUUCUCAGAUGUCUGCAUCUCUGCUCUAUGGGAGCCCUCACAAGUUUCAAUAAUGUCAUCCUCUUCUCUUUGUUUCCCCAGCCCCAGGAACGAUAGGUUCUUUCUGCUGUGGCAUUGCCGCAAUUACUUGGUGUUCUCUUUGGGGCACAAAAUGAAAGAAUCCUGGGUCUCUGAAUCGUGAUACAGAGGAAAGCUACCCACCAACCCAGGACACAUUUACCGAACUGUUAUAUGAGCAAGAAAGACAUUUUGAUUGUGUAAAAUCACCAAAAUAUGGAUCCUAUUUUUUACAACAAUGAACUGCACCUAUUAUGCCUGAAGAACAUUUUAAAACAUGUUUCUAGACUCCAUCCAAAACCAGAAUCUUCCAGCACUGUCUAGUAAUCUAUCAUUUUAAAAUGUUAUUCUUCCUGGUUUGGAAACCACAGUCUAAAUUGCCCUGAGCGUAUACUUAUUAACAUUCACCAGGUAGCAACUACCCAAAGCAUAGUUGUGGUACUUAGAAGGAAUUCAUCUAUAGCUCAAGAAUUAACUUCGUAGUUUUUAACUGCUCUUUUUUUUAGAAAUGUCACAAAAAGACUGAGUUCAGAGAAGAUCAGCAUGAAGUGAGCUGUGGAAGUUUUGCUAUUCCCAAAAGAAAAGGGCUUUCAGAUAUCCUGAUUGUCUGCCAGCAUUGACUGCCUCUGAAAAAUCAGUGUCUUUGCCAACUAUGUGACAGACACUGGGCAGAUUUACAGGAUGAGAGACAAUUGCUGGGGCUCCUUUCUAUUCUGUUAAAAAGCCCUGACCCAGAGAACUCAGGACUUUCUGGCGCAAAAUGGUCUGAUACAGAUUUUGUUGCUGUCUCAGAUUCACGCACUUGCUUUGGUUCGUAUGGCUAUUUUCAGGUGACAGCAGUAAUUAAGGCAUGUACUUGGUGAUAGGCAUCUUCUUGCAUGGGUCACCCCACAGGGUUUGAUUCCCAGGCCAACUGGCAAGAUUUCUGAAAGCAAGUGACAGCUUGUAAGAGGGGUGAAGGAAAAGGCAGAGCUGGCCGGGUGGCUGUGUCCUAUGACAAAGGAUUACAGUUAAUGGUGCUGAGGUCUGGCAAGCACCACGACCCUGCCUGGCUCCCAAGCUGCUCUGUCUAAAUGAUCAUUGUUGAUUAUGUGUCUAUACCUAGGCAAGAGAGUGGGACAGCAUGACAGAAAGCAGCUUCUUGACAGGCUCCAGAAAAUUUCCUUUAUAAGGGCUUUACCUUUAAUAGAGAACUCGAGAGGUCAAAAAUGUUAUAUUAAUACUUUGUCUUCAGACAGGCUGCCCAUGUAAACAGUUCAUGCUGCUAGACAAAACGAGUCUUAGGAAGCUUAAGGGCAUGUUUCCACAGCAGCCUGGUAUGCCUAAAUUAGCAGUAAUUAUGUCUAAAGAGAGAAGCAUAGUUUAAAAGAAUUAUGGCUAUGACUUUUGGCACAUGGAAUGGAAUGGAAUCAAAUCUUUUUUUGUUUUUUAGUUUCUUUCUUUCUUUCUUUCUUUCUUUCUUUCUUUCUUUCUUUCUUUCUUUCUUUCUUUCUUUCUUUCUUUCUUUCUUUUGAGACAGGGUCUUGCUGUGUUGUCCAGGCUGGUGUUGAACUGCUGGCAUCAAACAAUCUUACUGCCUCAGCCUCACAAAGUAUGGAUUGCAGGCAUGAACUACCACACCCAGCCAAUUUUGGAGUCAAAUCUAAAAAUCUUUGGGUAUUUCAAAACCCACAAAGGUUUCUAGUUUAUUGACAAAAGCACUUAGAGCCUGGCCUAAGACAGACAAGGAUUAUUUGAAAUGUAAAACCACUCUUGAGACCCCAAGUAGGAAACAGGCAGUGAAUGCAGCUAAGCCACCAAAAAUGACCUGUUUUACAAUGCCCCUGUAGAAAUGAGCAAGGGAGAUGAUGAGAACAAAAGGAUCUUCCAAAAAGCAGAAUCAGAAAAAUAGAUUAGAGAACUAUUCCCAGGGAGCAGAACCUGGGCUGAAUCAAGAAAUGUUACCUCUUUCCAGAGCAAGGAAACUUGGUAACAUUGACCUAGGAGGUUUCAGAAUUGCUAUGGAUCAGUAAAUGCAUUGCACCUCACAUCUUUCCCCUGUUGAAGGGGAGUAAUUAUCCUGUCUCUGGUUUACCUUGAAUUUCUGGUGUAUGUGGGGCAAUUAAUUAGACUUUUUAGUUCAUAGAUCUUUUUAUCCUACAAUUUGAGAUAUUCCCUGUGGUUAGCAGAAUUUUAAAGAUGUCCUCCCAAAAUUCCUGUCACCUGGUUAUUCAAUCAAAUGCUAAUCUAGUUAUUGUCAUCAAGUGACUUUACAGAUGUAAUUAAGAGUACAGCUCACCUUAACACAGGGAGAUUAUCUUGUAUUAUAUGGGGCUCAUCCAGCCUAAUCAGAUGAACCCUUUAAAACAGAGAAUUUUCUCUGUCUGAAAGCAGAAAUGAGGCAGAAGGGGAGUUGAGAGAGGCUUAAAACGUGAGAUGCUGGCUAUGAAGAUGAAGAGGGCCAAGGAAUGCAGGCAGCUUUUACAAACUGAGAACAGGGAGCUCUUGAGCCAGGUGUGUUGGCACACAAUUUAAUCCCAGCUACUUAGGAGGCUGAGAUGGGGGUAUGACAUAAGCCCAGCAGUCUGAAUCCAGCCUGGGCAACCUAGUAAGACCCUGUCUCUAUUUUAGUAAAACAAACAAACAAGAAAACCCAGGGAGCUCAGUUCUAUAACUGCAUGGAACUGAAUGCUGCCAACAACUGAAUGAGCUUGGAAGUGGAUUGAGCCUCCAGAAAGGAGUGCAUCCCUGCCAACACACUGAUUUCAGCCUUAUGAGACUCUAAACAGAUGGCCCAUCUGAGCCAUGCUGUACCUGGACUUCUAACGUAGAGAACUGCAAGAUAAGAAAUUGGUAUUAUUUUAAGUAACUAAAUUUGUGAUUAUUUGUUAUGGCAGCAAUAGAAAGCUAAUACACUCCCUCUCCCAUAAAUGAACUUCAAGAAAGAGGCUUUAGGUCUAGUCGGUUCACUUAAAACUCAACAGAGCUGCAAAUUUAGAUUAAGAAAGAUGGGUUUACAACCCUAUCCCUACAUGGCGUAAGAAAGAUCCAAGAAACACUGAAUAAGUCACAAUUCUGGUCUCAGCCACUAAAAUAAAGCCUUCCGCUGUUGUUAUUAAUAUAUGAGAACUAUGAAGUCUUUAAAUUUGGGGAGAUGGCAUAAAGGUAAAUAUGUUGGCAGAUGAGAUUGUGUACAACUGUCAGAUCUAUAUGUUUAUGAGGAACUGAAGAGCAGAAUUUGAAACAAAUUGCUUGAAUUACAUGAAGCCCACCACAGUGGAAAAAGUACCAUGUAAAUAUCUCUAAGCCUCAUUUUUCCUUCCCUUUUUAACAGAGAUAAAAGUAUCUCCACCACAGAUUAUAUAUCUUGCUCUGUAAGGUGAGCCUAACCAUAUUUAUCCAACUUGAGUCAUCCAAUUAUCACUUUUGUAAUUUUUACCAUAUCUUCAUGCUACCUAUUCUAUUUACCUAAUAUUUAACGCAAUUUGUAUUUUUUGUACUUUUUUUUGUGUUUUUGUUUGUUUAUUUUUGAGACACAGUAUCACUCCAUCACCUAAGCUGAAGUGCAGUGGCGUGAUCUUGGCUCACUGCAACCUCUGCCUCCUGGGUUCAAGUGAUUCUGAUGCCUCGGCCUCCUGAGUAGAUGGGAUUGCAGGCAUGCACCACCAUGCCCGGUUAAUUUUUGUAUUUUUAGUAGAGACAGGGGUUUCAUUCACCAUGUUGGCCAGGCUGGUCUUGAAUUCCUGGCCUCAAGUGAUUCGCCCACCUCAGCCUCCCAAAGUGUGGGGAUUACAGGCAUGAGCCACUGUACCUGGCCUCUUUGUGCUUUUUAAUGCACAAUAAAAUAAUCACAUAGCCAUUAAAAUGUAAAAUCUUCAUUUGUGCAAUUCCUAAAAUCAUUUCCCGUACUAUUCUUUGAGAAAUCAUAAACUAAGAUGAUCAUAAUUCAGUAAACAAUAGACAAUCUUAUACAAAUGAAAAUGUUGAGGUAUAUAUUUUCAAGUAUUAUUCAGGAAGUUCAUUUGGGGAUAAUAAUUUAAAAACAAAACAAAACAAAAACUUCCAGGGCCAGAUAUAUAUGUUCAUAGUUUCCUGAUUAACUAAGGUUUGUACAUGCAUUUGUUAAACAGAUACCUCAUGAGCAUAUAGUGUCUGUUAAACACUACAUGGCUCUUGAAACACAAAAAUGAACAAAGCAGAUCUGCAAAUCCUGCUAUCCUCUGCAAAUCACAGCCUAGUGGAAUAAUAGAAAUUCAGUAAGAAAUUACAUGAACAAUUAUUUAAUUAUAAAUGUUUCAUGAGUGGCAAAAAUCUUGCAUUUCUAUAUAUUUGGAACCAUCUCCCCAGUUAUAUUAAAGGUACACUAACCUUAACAUUUUGUGGUAGUUCAAACCAUGACUGCACAUGUUUUUGACACUCAUUCUAUUGAGUAGUUACAUCAGUGUCUCCUUCUCUUGAAUCUGGGCUGGCCUUAGAAACUCACUCUUAGCCAAUAGAAUGCAGCCAAUGAUGCUAUAUGACUUCUUGAGUCUAGGUGUAUCAGUCAUCUCUUGUUUCACAAUAAAUUACCCCAAAACUUAUUGGCUUAAAGUGAUCAAUAUUUAUUACUCACAGUCUCUAUGGGUCAAGAUUUGGGGGAUGGCUUAGCUGGCAAUUCUGACUCAGAGCCUCUUACAAGGUGUCAGUCAAGGUAUCAGCCUGGGCUGCAGUCAUCUGAAGACUUGACUGAGGUGGGAAGAUGGGUUUCCAAGAUGGCUCGCUCACAUGGCUUCUGGUGGAAGUCUUCAGUGGGUUUCUGGCUAACGACAGGGGGCUCAGUUCCUUGCCCUGGGGUACUCUUCAUAGGAUUGCUUGACUAUCACAGGAGCUGGCUUUUCCCAGAGCAAGUGACUCAAGACAUAGCAAGAAGGAAAUCAUAAUGCCUUUAUAUCCUCAUCUUGGAAAUCAAAUAUCAUCACUUCCGCAUUAUUCUACUUGUUAGAAAUGAGUCACUAAGUACAGUUCACAUCUGAGAAAGGAGAAUUAGGCUACAUCUUUUGAAGGAAGAGUAUCAAGGUAUUUGUGGAUCUAUUUUAAUACCACCAUACUAAUCAUAAAAAGUGAUGUAGCUUCCUGGUUAGGAAGAUGUAGCAACCUAAUCUUGCUGGCUAGGCAGAUGUUGCAUAAAACACCUUCUCCCUAAAUUGCCAUGUAAAAUGUCCAAAAAUUCUAAGGCUGCCAUGCUGUGAGGAAGCCCAGCCCACAUGGAGCGACCACAUGUGGGUACACCAGUUGACAGCCCCACUGAGAUCCCAGCCAAUAGUCAACGUCAACCACAAGAAAUGGGAGUACUAUGGACUGAAUGUAUUCCUCCCAAAUUCAUAUGUUGAAAGCUAAUCAAUCUUCAAUGUGGGAGUAUUUGGAGGAGGGGCUUUUGCAAGGUAAGUAGGUCAUGACAGCAGAGCCCUCAUGAACGGGAUUAGUGUCUUUAUAAGAAGAGGCCACAGAGAGAUCCUUCACCCCUUCUGCCAUAUGAGGUUACAGCAAAAAGAUGGCUAUCUAUGAAGAAGUGGGAAUCACCAAACACUGAACCUACCAAUGCCUUGAUCUUGGACUUUUCAGCUUCCAGAGCUGUAAAAAUAAGUUUCUGUUGUUUAUAAGCCAUCCAGUUUAUGGUAUUUUGUUAUAACUGCCCCAAAGGACUAAGACAUUGGGCAAAGAUGCCUACAGAUGAUUCUAGCCCCAGCUGUUGAGACACCUUCAGCCAUCCUCUCCGUGAGCCAUUGAAUCUUCUCAGCUUCCCAGAUACAAGUCAUCACUAAUUUUAGGAUCAGAUGCCUCUUCUUAACAUAGCUUCAAAGGGGACACAGCAUAGCACAGUGAUUAUAUGCAGAAGCUCUGGAUUUCAGGGUCAGUGUCAACUCUCUCUUGUGCUGCUUCCAGCAACAUGACCUUGGGCAAUUUGCUUUAAUUCUCUAAACCCCAGGUUCUUCAUCCUUUAGUUACGAAAACAAAAGUGAGUAGGUGUUGUUUCGAAGACUGAAUGGAGUAAUGCAUUCAAAGUUCUCAGUACAUAAUUUAUGCUAGGUGUUGGUAUUAUUUUCACUAUUAUCAUUUUUAUUUUCAUUAAAUCUGCUUCUCUUCCAGGAUUUCCCAUAUUAUUGGUUUAUGUCAUGAAAAUCCUAAAUCACCCUCAGGCUCAAAAUUAAAACUAAAACAACAAAAAAUUUUCCACUCUUCCUUCUAUUUCACCAAAUAUUUAUAAUAAAUUUUCAAGUUCCAUUGAUUCUACCUCCAUAGUUUCUGUUAUCCUUCCACCCUCAAAGCCAAUUAAGGGAUAGGCCAGGAGGAAGUGGCCCCGGGACACCAGCUGAAAUGGAAAGUAAACAGCACCAGGAACACUAGCACAAUGGAGGAGCAGGUAUUUACCAGAAGAAGAGUGUGAACAUAGUUGGAAGGAAUGCUUGGUUAAGUCAGUAGAGGUAAAGUCAUGUGAUAAGUCCCCAUCAAAAGACUGUGAGUGGAAAUGUUUUGUGCAACUUCUGUCUCACCUGUUUAAAGGAAAGGACUUGCCUGGACUUAUUCCCUUUUCUCCUACCUGUGAUCUGGAACACGAAUAUGCCUCUGCUUGACUUUGACCAUGGAGAAGAAAAAAUAUUUUAAAGGAUGGUGGAGUAAUAAGAUAAAAGGCACCUGGUUCCCUG